Molecule: ribosomal RNA, 301 nt
Filed under: uncultured bacterium
Lineage: Bacteria
Description: partial 16S ribosomal RNA
Rfam family: Bacterial small subunit ribosomal RNA
Source: RNAcentral
CAGUCGCCGCGGUAAUACGUAGGGUGCAAGCGUUAAUCGGAAUUACUGGGCGUAAAGCGUGCGCAGGCGGUUAUAUAAGACAGAUGUGAAAUCCCCGGGCUCAACCUGGGAACUGCAUUUGUGACUGUAUAGCUAGAGUACGGCAGAGGGGGAUGGAAUUCCGCGUGUAGCAGUGAAAUGCGUAGAUAUGCGGAGGAACACCGAUGGCGAAGGCAAUCCCCUGGGCCUGUACUGACGCUCAUGCACGAAAGCGUGGGGAGCAAACAGGAUUUGAUACCCGUGUAGUCCCUGUCUCUUAUAC